RNAcentral lists this ribosomal RNA (402 nucleotides) under uncultured bacterium. RNAcentral's name for it is "bacterial SSU rRNA". It matches the Rfam family "Bacterial small subunit ribosomal RNA", at positions 355 to 747 of the family's 1533-position model. The record is from RNAcentral.
CUAAGAAUCUUCCGCAAUGGGCGAAAGCCUGACGGAGCGACGCCGCGUGGACGAUGAAGGCCGAAAGGUUGUAAAGUCCUUUUCUCUGUGAAGAAUAAGGGUGUGAGGAAAUGCGCAUCUGAUGACGUUAGCGGAGGAAUAAGCCCCGGCUAAUUACGUGCCAGCAGCCGCGGUAAUACGUAAGGGGCGAGCGUUGUUCGGAAUUAUUGGGUGUAAAGGGCGCGUAGGCGGUUCUGCAAGUCCGGUGUAUAAGGCUACAGCUCAACUGUGGUUUUGCGCUGGAAACUGUGGGACUUGAGUUUAGGAGGGGGAGCUGGAAUUCCAGGGUGUAGGGGUGAAAUCGUGUAGAUAUCUGGAAGAACACCGGUGGCGAAGGCGAGCUCCUGGCCAUAGACUGACGCU